RNAcentral lists this ribosomal RNA (254 nucleotides) under uncultured bacterium. RNAcentral describes it as "partial 16S ribosomal RNA". It matches the Rfam family "Bacterial small subunit ribosomal RNA", at positions 524 to 776 of the family's 1533-position model. The record is from RNAcentral.
UACGUAGGUGACAAGCGUUGUCCGGAUUUACUGGGCGUAAAGAGCGCGCAGGCGGUCGUUCAAGUCGAGUGUGAAAGCCCCCGGCUCAACUGGGGAGGGUCAUUCGAUACUGAUCGACUCGAAGGCAGGAGAGGGAAGUGGAAUUCCCGGUGUAGUGGUGAAAUGCGUAGAUAUCGGGAGGAACACCAGUGGCGAAGGCGCUCUGCUGGACCACAACUGACACUCACAGGACGAAAGCUAGGGGAGCGAAUGGG